Molecule: ribosomal RNA, 909 nt
Filed under: uncultured bacterium
Lineage: Bacteria
Description: bacterial SSU rRNA
Rfam family: Bacterial small subunit ribosomal RNA
Source: RNAcentral
AGAGUUUGAUCAUGGCUCAGAACGAACGCUGGCGGCAGGCCUAACACAUGCAAGUCGAGCGAGACCUUCGGGUCUAGCGGCGGACGGGUUAGUAACGCGUGGGAACGUACCCUUCUCUAAGGAAUAGCCACUGGAAACGGUGAGUAAUACCUUAUACGCCCUUCGGGGGAAAGAUUUAUCGGAGAAGGAUCGGCCCGCGUAAGAUUAGAUAGUUGGUGGGGUAAUGGCCUACCAAGUCUACGAUCUUUAGCUGGUUUUAGAGGAUGAUCAGCAACACUGGGACUGAGACACGGCCCAGACUCCUACGGGAGGCAGCAGUGGGGAAUCUUAGACAAUGGGCGCAAGCCUGAUCUAGCCAUGCCGCGUGUGUGACGAAGGCCUUAGGGUCGUAAAGCACUUUCGCCUGUGAUGAUAAUGACAGUAGCAGGUAAAGAAACCCCGGCUAACUCCGUGCCAGCAGCCGCGGUAAUACGGAGGGGGUUAGCGUUGUUCGGAAUUACUGGGCGUAAAGCGCACGUAGGCGGAUUGGAAAGUAUGGGGUGAAAUCCCAGGGCUCAACCCUGGAACUGCCUCAUAAACUUCCAGUCUAGAGUUCGAGAGAGGUGAGUGGAAUUCCGAGUGUAGAGGCGAAAUUCGUAGAUAUUCGGAGGAACACCAGUGGCGAAGGCGGCUCACUGGCUCGAUACUGACGCUGAGGUGCGAAAGUGUGGGGAGCAAACAGGAUUAGAUACCCUGGUAGUCCACACCGUAAACGAUGAAUGCCAGUCGUCGGCAAGCAUGCUUGUCGGUGACACACCUAACGGAUUAAGCAUUCCGCCUGGGGAGUACGGUCGCAAGAUUAAACUCAAAGGAAUUGACGGGGGCCCGCACAAGCGGUGGAGUAUGUGGUUUAAUUCGACGCAACGCGAA